This 1203-nucleotide long non-coding RNA is filed under the name Salmo salar (Atlantic salmon). Its description in RNAcentral is "lncRNA (ENSSSAG00000091904.1)". Lineage: Eukaryota; Metazoa; Chordata; Actinopteri; Salmoniformes; Salmonidae. The record is from RNAcentral.
CUCCAUUGUUCACAUCCUGGUCCUGGGCAAUGGAGCGGUCACAUAUUGUCUGCAGCCAAAAUGGCAACCUAUUCUCCCUAUGGACCCUGGACAACAGUAGUGCACUAUAUAGUGAAUAGGGCGCCAUUUCAGAUGAAUCCAUUGUUAAAGAACGACUGCCCCAAAAAAACAAAUAAUCUCUUUGAAAACAGCCUAUGUGGCUUCGAUAUGAGUCAGAAACAUUUAUUCUUAAUAGGAUCAUUUUGUUCAUAACGUCAGUCUCGUCUUAAACGGAGUUUGGAACUGAGUGCGUCACAACGAGUAAAUUAAGGUUAGGUCUGGAUAACAAUUAUGUCUACAAUUCAUGCCCCCUUUUGUCAAGCUCCACGUGCAAAUCGCCCCUCCACCCACUUUGCUUCUCUUUAUUGAAUGGGGCUCCAUUGUUUUAUCGCGUUCAAAGGAUCAGACCGUUUGAGACUGAAAAGGCCUAUACAGAUUGACAAUGCCUCUGGCUCCGGUUCAACAAUGCAUGCUUCCAGUAAGAUGAACAGCCAGCUAUGGUUUGCAUGUCCUGCUGAAGGACCCUACCAUGCGGAAUAGGUGGUUGGAGUUGGUUCCCAAUGGUGAUUUGGCUUGGAAACAUAAUACUGAUCCCCGGUCGUGAACGGAUGCCGGGACCUACCAGAAGGAACAAAGCUUGUCAGGCAAUACCUCAGAAUAAAAGUGUGUCAUGCGAGUACGAGUCUCCCUCGACUCCUAUGAAAAGGACACACCAUCAUGAGGCCUCAUAGUGACCCGAGUUACUGCCCUGAUGACACAGACAGCUCCAUCAACACAGUGUUCAUUUCAUCAACAAAAAUAGUGGCGAACAAAUUUGUUAAAAACCUAUUUUUCAGUGGCAAUUGACGAGACGAUAACAUACUAGAUAGACACACAAAAAACUAUAACUAAACAAAAAAUCUUUUUAAUUUCGGUUGAAAAAAACGAGAAGAGACUAAAUUAUCUCUGUAACCAAAAUCUGACUAGUAAGUGGACUGUACAAGAGUUUUUGGAGAAAUUGAGAGCUUUUCAGUGUUAUUAAUUUGGUCCAAUCAAAAGCAUGCAUGAAAUUAGCAAAAUUGUAAGGCUUUCUCACUGCAAUGUUUCAAUGCUGCUAUUGGAAAAUAAAUACAAUGCCCGGGUCAUUCACGAAUCACGUCUCUGCUGGUUGUUCUCCAAUCUGUC